AGUGAACGCUGGCGGUAGGCCUAACACAUGCAAGUCGAACGGCAGCACAGUAAGAGCUUGCUCUUACGGGUGGCGAGUGGCGGACGGGUGAGGAAUACAUCGGAAUCUACUUUUUCGUGGGGGAUAACGUAGGGAAACUUACGCUAAUACCGCAUACGACCUACGGGUGAAAGCAGGGGAUCUUCGGACCUUGCGCGAUUGAAUGAGCCGAUGUCGGAUUAGCUAGUUGGCGGGGUAAAGGCCCACCAAGGCGACGAUCCGUAGCUGGUCUGAGAGGAUGAUCAGCCACACUGGAACUGAGACACGGUCCAGACUCCUACGGGAGGCAGCAGUGGGGAAUAUUGGACAAUGGGCGCAAGCCUGAUCCAGCCAUACCGCGUGGAUGAAGAAGGCCUUCGGGUUGUAAAGCCCUUUUGUUGGGAAAGAAAAGCAGCAGGUUAAUACCCCGCUGUUCUGACGUUACCCAAAGAAUAAGCACCGGCUAACUUCGUG
This 492-nucleotide ribosomal RNA is filed under the name uncultured bacterium. RNAcentral describes it as "partial 16S ribosomal RNA". It matches the Rfam family "Bacterial small subunit ribosomal RNA", at positions 29 to 507 of the family's 1533-position model. The record is from RNAcentral.